CGCCAAUAUGAUACACUUUGAGAAUAUAUUGAUGUUUAAUAAUAUCAUUGAAUAAUACAACAUUAUGCUUUAAUAAAGAUCUUCCGCGUACUUAGUAUGUUCAUUUGCGAGCUGUACAUAUCUUGGAUAGUCUAAGACAUAUGUAACGUAUUGAGAUUAACUAUUAAUUUAAUCCCUUUACAUUUUCUAUGUCGGGUACAACUCAAAUGACACAUGUAGAUGGUUAAGUUGACUAUUGGACAGUUGAAGGCAUCCUUCUUGUAAUACAGUCUUGUGACUCUGAAUCAUUAUGCAUAGAUCUAAAUAUGAAACAGAUGAAGCUGUCUCACUGGUCUCCUUUAGUUCCAGUUCAAGUGGGUUAAUCAGUGGAAGGGAAUUGGCUAUUUGACCAUUAUUGAACGAUUUCAGAUCAUCGAAAUACCUGAAGCUCAGGUUAAACUUCUUGGCCAAAUUACCUUGUUUUCAAGCAUGUCACAAGCUUUGAAUAUAUUUCAUCAUACAAUGUUUCCAUGUCUGACAAGCAGAAUGCAAUGUACAUAUAUUAAUAUACAUUUUUGUUUCUUCGUGUAUUUUUUUAAGUGUUAUACUUGCAGUACAUACCCAAGCUUCUACAUCCCCGCCUGCGCCUGUCGCGGCAGUUGGUGGUGCUGUUGGCGGCCUUGUCCUGUUGGUCCUGGUGCUGGUCCUCCUCCUCAUCAUCAGGAGGAGAAGAAACAAAGGGAAUAAGUCUCCUGAUGGACCAAUAUUUGAUGAGACGUCUCCAAGGAAUAGAAAGCACCACGGUGCUGAUAACGUUUACAUGAAUGUUGCGUUUGAGGAGAACACUCUGUCUAUUGGUGACAAAGAUCAUGACCAUCCAGAGCAUCCACAGGAAGCUGAUUCCCAGAGUGUGGCCAACCUAGAGGAAGACGACAAGGACGCCCAUGUUAACAUACAUCCGAAGGGGGAAGCAGUACCGGGUGUCUCAGGAUGUAACUAUUACAACUUGGGCGACCUUGGUCACGUUAUUCCAUUGUCUUCUCUUGAGGAAAGAGUACGUGAAAUUGAAAAUCAUCCCCAAGAGGCAUUUGAGCGCUUGCCAGACGGAUUUACCCACAGCUACUGAGAAUCUCAGAAGGCAGGGAACAAAGGGAAGAACAGAUUCAGGGGAUACUAUCCAUAUGACUACAACCGUGUGGUGUUGCACGGCGACAGUGACGGCAGCAGAGGCGACUACAUCAACGCCAGC
Haliotis rufescens (red abalone) is the source of this 1228-nucleotide long non-coding RNA. RefSeq lists it as uncharacterized. The record is from RefSeq and is a predicted model, not a curated record. Lineage: Eukaryota; Metazoa; Mollusca; Gastropoda; Lepetellida; Haliotidae. The transcript has 5 exons.